RNAcentral lists this ribosomal RNA (253 nucleotides) under uncultured bacterium. Its description in RNAcentral is "partial 16S ribosomal RNA". It matches the Rfam family "Bacterial small subunit ribosomal RNA", at positions 524 to 776 of the family's 1533-position model. The record is from RNAcentral.
UACGUAGGGUGCAAGCGUUAAUCGGAAUUACUGGGCGUAAAGCGUGCGCAGGCGGCUAUGCAAGACAGAUGUGAAAUCCCCGGGCUCAACCUGGGAACUGCAUUUGUGACUGCAUGGCUAGAGUACGGCAGAGGGGGAUGGAAUUCCGCGUGUAGCAGUGAAAUGCGUAGAUAUGCGGAGGAACACCGAUGGCGAAGGCAGCCCCCUGGGCUAGCACUGACGCUCAGGCACGAAAGCGUGGGGAGCAAACAGG